Molecule: long non-coding RNA, 416 nt
Filed under: Rattus norvegicus (Norway rat)
Lineage: Eukaryota; Metazoa; Chordata; Mammalia; Rodentia; Muridae
Description: long non-coding RNA NONRATT031036
Source: RNAcentral
AGAGUUACCGUCAACCCACAACGUGCUGUUCCCAAUGUAGUGGAAAGGUGCAAAAGAUGAAAAAGAAGGCCGAGAGAACCCUACCAAGAAUCCACAAAAAUAACACCUCAAAGAAAACUGUACCACCUACAAAGAAGAAUAAACGAGCCAAAGGUGAAGCACUAUUCAGACACUACCACCGUUCAAUGGAUGAGAUGACGGCUAGCACUGAAACAGAACCAGAGCCGAGCAGUUCAGACAGCUCCACUGAGUCAAGUAGUGAUGAGGAGAGCCAAUAGACUCAGCCUCCUCAGCAAGCCACCAAAGACUAGAAAUCCAUUCACAGUCUGGCAGCUGAACGAUGUGAAACUGUAGAUGCAGUAGUUACUACGCAGUGCUUUGACACUGGUGAAAAUAAAAUCAAUCUGAUACAGAAA